AAGGUCACAGAUGGGACAAAGCCAAACAGUUUUGAAAUCCAUUUUUCUGCUAAAAGUGCUGAAAAAAUGUUUCUUAAAUUAACCUUUUACUUUUUUUUUUUUUUAUGUCCCAUGUUGAUAUAUCAAAUAGCAAUCCUUUGGCCAGGUCAGAGAACACCGGAAUAGAACAUGCUUACUUGUGCUGCUCCUGUGCUCCCCUCGUCCUGCCCGGUGCCUUUCCAAUUCCACUCUCGAUCUGAGCCCACCACAUGCAGCCUGCUGUCAGGGGCACACCAGGACCAAGGGAAAAUUGCUUGAUACUAAAAGGCGGGAGCUGCUGCACCCUCCCUUUGGGCAGAUCUGCACACCAAAGUGCCAAGCGAGUGCCAGCCCAACAGCUAGCUAUCGCAGGGGCUGCAGGUAAUCUGCUCCUCAGAAAUGAUGUCAUAGCCCGUCCUCCCACACAGCCAUUUCUCCCUACAACUAUUGUGCACAUGAGUGAGUUUUUAUUAAAGAAGACCAACAAUGCCAUGCACUUUCGGGCUCCCUGGUAUGACCUGCCUUUGAGAAGUUCACAAAAAUGGGCUUUCUCUGAAGUACAAAAAGGGAUUUAACUGGGGGUCCCAGUGCCUUUGUGCAGGUCUUAUGCUCUAAUAAAUGUUACAUACCUUGGAGAUCCCAGCCUCAGCUGGCCCCUACCUGGCCUGGCCUGAAGCUCCAUCCUGGGUUCUGGCUGCUGAGCACUUGCGCCUCCAGUCCAUCAUGAGAAAGGCUCAAAACCAAAACGCUGUCUUCAGCUGACAGCAGGGGGAAGCAAACUCAUUUGUCUGCAUUAGAGGAAAGAUGCUGGAAAAAAUUGAAAAAGUUAAAAAUAAACUUUGCAAAUUGAAAAGGGGGGAGGUAAGGGAAGAGCAAGCAGUCAAACUUGCUCUUCAGUCUCUUCACACAUUAUUGUCCUCACAGCUCACUAAAAACGUCAAGUUAAUUUUACUAAGUAGCUAAAUUAUAGACACUCAGAUGUAAUCAGAAUCUGCUAUACAUUUCAACUUUCAAAAUUAAUCAACCUACGUUUUUGAGUUAUAACACCUGAAGGAAACAGCUGUACGUCUAUAUAUAGUGCACCCAUGUCUCUUGGUCUUCUUGCAGCCUUUUUUUCCCCCCCUACACCAUCUGUACUUAAAGAAUAAAAAUCAAAUGUUUCCUUUUCCUGA
This is a long non-coding RNA of Cygnus olor (mute swan), 1190 nucleotides long. RefSeq lists it as uncharacterized. The transcript is spliced from 2 exons. The record is from RefSeq and is a predicted model, not a curated record. NCBI's taxonomy places the organism in Eukaryota, Metazoa, Chordata, Aves, Anseriformes, Anatidae.